GCUCUCUAGGUUAUUCAAGGACACGGAAAAGCCAACACCAUGGUAGCAUUAAUGAAAGUUUACCAAGAGGAAGAUGAAGCCUACCAGGAAUUAGUUACCGUGGCAACCACGUUCUUCCAGUACUUAUUGCGGCCAUUUAGGGCUAUGCGAGAAGUUGCAACUUUAUAAGUCCUUGGAUGAGGAUGACCUAGGUCCUAGAAGGGUAGUUGCCCUGGAGAAAGAAGCUGAAGAAUGGACCAGACGGGCUGGAGAAGCUGUCGUCUCUAUUCAAGAUAUCACAGUGAAUUAUUUUAAGGAGACAGUAAAAGCAUUAGCAGGAGUUUCUGAUAUAUUGCACAGAAUCAACAAGAUAUAAAGCAGAAUGAUGAUCCUGGUUUUUUGGUCAAACUAUCCAUAUGAGCCUGUCUGUCUAGCUAGUCAUAGAAACAAUAUGGAAGCAAGUGUGCCAAAAUAUAAGAAGCAGUUGCCUCAACUAGGAAUGCAAAAAGAAAUGGAACAGGAUGUGAAGAGACUUGGCCAGGCUGCCUGGGCCACAGCAAUUCCCAGGUUGGAAAAACUUAAGCUAAUGCUAGCUCAAGAGACUCUGCAACUCAUGAGAGCGAAAGAAUUGUAUUUAAAUUGCAAAAGAGCUGAAAUUCAGGGAAAGAUGGAAGAUCUUCCAGAACAAGAAAAAAAUAUAAAUGUUGUAGAUGAAUUAGAAAUACAAUUUUAUGAAAUUCAGUUAGAACUAUAUGAAGUUAAAUUUGAGAUAUUAAAAAACAAAGAAAUACUGCUUACUACACAGUUGGACUCUCUUGAAAGACUUAUAAAAGAAAAACAGGAUGAAGUUGUCUAUUACGAUCCAUGUGAAAGUCCAGAGGAACUUAGUCAUUGACUGUGGUGGGGCUGCAGGACGAUAAGAAUUCGGAAGUGAAAGAACUCAGAAGGCAGUGCCAGCAGCUGGAGUCUAUUAAACGGGGCAGGAUCUGUGUCAAAAGAGCUUCUCUCCAGAGUAGAAAGGAUCAGUGCAAAGAAAAUCAUUGGCUCAGAUUGCAACAGGCUGAAGAAAGCAUAAGAUAUUCUCGUCAGCAUCACAGUAUUCAGAUG
RNAcentral lists this long non-coding RNA (1086 nucleotides) under Homo sapiens (human). Its description in RNAcentral is "non-protein coding lnc-APBA2-1:6". The record is from RNAcentral. Lineage: Eukaryota; Metazoa; Chordata; Mammalia; Primates; Hominidae.